This 296-nucleotide ribosomal RNA is filed under the name Staphylococcus sp. 9MP3. RNAcentral's name for it is "partial 16S ribosomal RNA". It matches the Rfam family "Bacterial small subunit ribosomal RNA", at positions 61 to 345 of the family's 1533-position model. Lineage: Bacteria; Bacillati; Bacillota; Bacilli; Caryophanales; Staphylococcaceae. The record is from RNAcentral.
GUCCGAGCGAACAGACGAGGAGCUUGCUCCUUUGACGUUAGCGGCGGACGGGUGAGUAACACGUAGGUAACCUACCUAUAAGACUGGGAUAACUUCGGGAAACCGGAGCUAAUACCGGAUAAUAUUUCGAACCGCAUGGUUCGAUAGUGAAAGAUGGCUUUGCUAUCACUUAUAGAUGGACCUGCGCCGUAUUAGCUAGUUGGUAAGGUAACGGCUUACCAAGGCAACGAUACGUAGCCGACCUGAGAGGGUGAUCGGCCACACUGGAACUGAGACACGGUCCAGACUCCUACGGG